GGUUAAGCGACUAAGCGUACACGGUGGAUGCCCUGGCAGUCAGAGGCGAUGAAGGACGUGCUAAUCUGCGAUAAGCGUCGGUAAGGUGAUAUGAACCGUUAUAACCGGCGAUUUCCGAAUGGGGAAACCCAGUGUGUUUCGACACACUAUCAUUAACUGAAUCCAUAGGUUAAUGAGGCGAACCGGGGGAACUGAAACAUCUAAGUACCCCGAGGAAAAGAAAUCAACCGAGAUUCCCCCAGUAGCGGCGAGCGAACGGGGAGCAGCCCAGAGCCUGAAUCAGUGUGUGUGUUAGUGGAAGCGUCUGGAAAGGCGCGCGAUACAGGGUGACAGCCCCGUACACAAAAAUGCACAUGCUGUGAGCUCGAUGAGUAGGGCGGGACACGUGGUAUCCUGUCUGAAUAUGGGGGGACCAUCCUCCAAGGCUAAAUACUCCUGACUGACCGAUAGUGAACCAGUACCGUGAGGGAAAGGCGAAAAGAACCCCGGCGAGGGGAGUGAAAAAGAACCUGAAACCGUGUACGUACAAGCAGUGGGAGCACGCUUAGGCGUGUGACUGCGUACCUUUUGUAUAAUGGGUCAGCGACUUAUAUUCUGUAGCAAGGUUAACCGAAUAGGGGAGCCGAAGGGAAACCGAGUCUUAACUGGGCGUUAAGUUGCAGGGUAUAGACCCGAAACCCGGUGAUCUAGCCAUGGGCAGGUUGAAGGUUGGGUAACACUAACUGGAGGACCGAACCGACUAAUGUUGAAAAAUUAGCGGAUGACUUGUGGCUGGGGGUGAAAGGCCAAUCAAACCGGGAGAUAGCUGGUUCUCCCCGAAAGCUAUUUAGGUAGCGCCUCGUGAAUUCAUCUCCGGGGGUAGAGCACUGUUUCGGCAAGGGGGUCAUCCCGACUUACCAACCCGAUGCAAACUGCGAAUACCGGAGAAUGUUAUCACGGGAGACACACGGCGGGUGCUAACGUCCGUCGUGAAGAGGGAAACAACCCAGACCGCCAGCUAAGGUCCCAAAGUCAUGGUUAAGUGGGAAACGAUGUGGGAAGGCCCAGACAGCCAGGAUGUUGGCUUAGAAGCAGCCAUCAUUUAAAGAAAGCGUAAUAGCUCACUGGUCGAGUCGGCCUGCGCGGAAGAUGUAACGGGGCUAAACCAUGCACCGAAGCUGCGGCAGCGACGCUUAUGCGUUGUUGGGUAGGGGAGCGUUCUGUAAGCCUGUGAAGGUGUGCUGUGAGGCAUGCUGGAGGUAUCAGAAGUGCGAAUGCUGACAUAAGUAACGAUAAAGCGGGUGAAAAGCCCGCUCGCCGGAAGACCAAGGGUUCCUGUCCAACGUUAAUCGGGGCAGGGUGAGUCGACCCCUAAGGCGAGGCCGAAAGGCGUAGUCGAUGGGAAACAGGUUAAUAUUCCUGUACUUGGUGUUACUGCGAAGGGGGGACGGAGAAGGCUAUGUUGGCCGGGCGACGGUUGUCCCGGUUUAAGCGUGUAGGCUGGUUUUCCAGGCAAAUCCGGAAAAUCAAGGCUGAGGCGUGAUGACGAGGCACUACGGUGCUGAAGCAACAAAUGCCCUGCUUCCAGGAAAAGCCUCUAAGCAUCAGGUAACAUCAAAUCGUACCCCAAACCGACACAGGUGGUCAGGUAGAGAAUACCAAGGCGCUUGAGAGAACUCGGGUGAAGGAACUAGGCAAAAUGGUGCCGUAACUUCGGGAGAAGGCACGCUGAUA
Molecule: ribosomal RNA, 1713 nt
Filed under: Escherichia coli
Lineage: Bacteria; Pseudomonadati; Pseudomonadota; Gammaproteobacteria; Enterobacterales; Enterobacteriaceae
Description: 23S ribosomal RNA
Rfam family: Bacterial large subunit ribosomal RNA
Source: RNAcentral